GACGAACGCUGGCGGCGUGCCUAAUACAUGCAAGUAGAACGCUGAAGGAGGAGCUUGCUCUUCUGGAUGAGUUGCGAACGGGUGAGUAACGCGUAGGUAACCUGCCUGGUAGCGGGGGAUAACUAUUGGAAACGAUAGCUAAUACCGCAUAACAGUAGAUGUUGCAUGACAUUUACUUAAAAGGUGCAAUUGCAUCACUACCAGAUGGACCUGCGUUGUAUUAGCUAGUUGGUGGGGUAACGGCUCACCAAGGCGACGAUACAUAGCCGACCUGAGAGGGUGAUCGGCCACACUGGGACUGAGACACGGCCCAGACUCCUACGGGAGGCAGCGGUAGGGAAUCUUCGGCAAUGGACGGAAGUCUGACCGAGCAACGCCGCGUGAGUGAAGAAGGUUUUCGGAUCGUAAAGCUCUGUUGUAAGAGAAGAACGAGUGUGAGAGUGGAAAGUUCACACUGUGACGGUAUCUUACCAGAAAGGGACGGCUAACUACGUG
RNAcentral lists this ribosomal RNA (495 nucleotides) under uncultured bacterium. RNAcentral describes it as "partial 16S ribosomal RNA". It matches the Rfam family "Bacterial small subunit ribosomal RNA", at positions 28 to 507 of the family's 1533-position model. The record is from RNAcentral.